CAAGCGAACAAGUGCAUGUGGUGGAUGCCUUGGCGAUCACAGGCGAUGAAGGACGCGGUAGCCUGCGAAAAGCCCCGGGGAGCUGGCAAACAAGCUUUGAUCCGGGGAUGUCCGAAUGGGGAAACCCACUCCGUAUGGAGUAUCCAUGACUGAAUACAUAGGUCAUGUGAAGCGAACGCGGUGAACUGAAACAUCUAAGUAACCGCAGGAAAAGAAAUCAACCGAGAUUCCCAAAGUAGUGGCGAGCGAAAUGGGAUGAGCCUUGUACUCUUUAUUCGUAUUGUUAGCCGAACGCUCUGGAAAGUGCGGCCAUAGCAGGUGAUAGCCCUGUAGGCGAAAACAGUAUGAAAGAACUAGGUGUACGACAAGUAGGGCGGGACACGUGAAAUCCUGUCUGAAGAUGGGGGGACCAUCCUCCAAGGCUAAAUACUCGUGAUCGACCGAUAGUGAACCAGUACCGUGAGGGAAAGGCGAAAAGAACCCCGGGAGGGGAGUGAAAUAGAUCCUGAAACCGCAUGCAUACAAACAGUCGGAGCCUCGUAAGGGGUGACGGCGUACCUUUUGUAUAAUGGGUCAGCGACUUACGUUCAGUAGCAAGCUUAACCGUAUAGGGCAGGCGUAGCGAAAGCGAGUCCGAAUAGGGCGUUCAGUUGCUGGGCGUAGACCCGAAACCAGGUGAUCUAUCCAUGGCCAGGAUGAAGGUGCGGUAACACGUACUGGAGGUCCGAACCCACUAACGUUGAAAAGUUAGGGGAUGAGCUGUGGAUAGGGGUGAAAGGCUAAACAAACCUGGAAAUAGCUGGUUCUCUCCGAAAACUAUUUAGGUAGUGCCUCGUGUCUCACCUUCGGGGGUAGAGCACUGUCAUGGUUGGGGGGUCUAUUGCAGAUUACCCCGCCAUAGCAAACUCCGAAUACCGAAGAGUGCAAUCACGGGAGACAGACAUCGGGUGCUAACGUCCGGUGUCAAGAGGGAAACAACCCAGACCGCCAGCUAAGGUCCCCAAAUAUGGCUAAGUGGGAAACGAAGUGGGAAGGCUAAAACAGUCAGGAGGUUGGCUUAGAAGCAGCCACCCUUUAAAGAAAGCGUAAUAGCUCACUGAUCGAGUCGUCCUGCGCGGAAGAUGUAACGGGGCUAAGCCAUAUACCGAAGCUGCGGAUGCGAGCUUGCUCGCAUGGUAGGAGAGCGUUCCGUAAGCCUGCGAAGGUGUCUUGUAAAGGAUGCUGGAGGUAUCGGAAGUGCGAAUGCUGACAUGAGUAGCGAUAAAGGGGGUGAAAGGCCCCCUCGCCGUAAGCCCAAGGUUUCCUACGCAACGUUCAUCGGCGUAGGGUGAGUCGGCCCCUAAGGCGAGGCAGAAAUGCGUAGCUGAUGGGAAGCAGGUCAAUAUUCCUGCACCGUCGUUAGAUGCGAUGGGGGGACGGAUCGCGGAAGGUUGUCCGGGUGUUGGACGUCCCGGUCGCUGCAUUGGAGAAGGCGCUUAGGCAAAUCCGGGCGCAGGAUUCAAGGGUGUGGCGCGAGCGACUUCGGUCGCGAAGCAAUUGGAAGUGGUUCCAAGAAAAGCCUCUAAGCUUCAGUCUAACGAUGACCGUACCGCAAACCGACACAGGUGGGCGAGAUGAGUAUUCUAAGGCGCUUGAGAGAACUCGGGAGAAGGAACUCGGCAAAUUGGUACCGUAACUUCGGGAUAAGGUACGCCCUUGUAGCUUGACCAGCCUGCGCUGGAAGGGUGAAGGGGUUGCAAUAAACUGGUGGCUGCGACUGUUUAAUAAAAACACAGCACUCUGCAAACACGAAAGUGGACGUAUAGGGUGUGACGCCUGCCCGGUGCCGGAAGAUUAAAUGAUGGGGUGCAAGCUCUUGAUUGAAGUCCCGGUAAACGGCGGCCGUAACUAUAACGGUCCUAAGGUAGCGAAAUUCCUUGUCGGGUAAGUUCCGACCUGCACGAAUGGCGUAACGAUGGCCACACUGUCUCCUCCCGAGACUCAGCGAAGUUGAAGUGUUUGUGAUGAUGCAAUCUACCCGCGGCUAGACGGAAAGACCCCAUGAACCUUUACUGUAGCUUUGCAUUGGACUUUGAACCGAUCUGUGUAGGAUAGGUGGGAGGCUAUGAAACCGGAACGCUAGUUUCGGUGGAGCCGUCCUUGAAAUACCACCCUGGUUUGUUUGAGGUUCUAACCUUGGUCCGUGAUCCGGAUCGGGGACAGUGCAUGGUAGGCAGUUUGACUGGGGCGGUCUCCUCCCAAAGGGUAACGGAGGAGUACGAAGGUACGCUAGGUACGGUCGGAAAUCGUGCUGAUAGUGCAAUGGCAUAAGCGUGCUUAACUGCGAGACCGACAAGUCGAGCAGGUGCGAAAGCAGGUCAUAGUGAUCCGGUGGUUCUGUAUGGAAGGGCCAUCGCUCAACGGAUAAAAGGUACUCUGGGGAUAACAGGCUGAUACCGCCCAAGAGUUCAUAUCGACGGCGGUGUUUGGCACCUCGAUGUCGGCUCAUCUCAUCCUGGGGCUGUAGCCGGUCCCAAGGGUAUGGCUGUUCGCCAUUUAAAGAGGUACGUGAGCUGGGUUUAAAACGUCGUGAGACAGUUUGGUCCCUAUCUGCCGUGGGCGUUGGAUAUUUGAAGGGGGCUGCUCCUAGUACGAGAGGACCGGAGUGGACGAACCUCUGGUGUACCGGUUGUGACGCCAGUCGCAUCGCCGGGUAGCUAUGUUCGGAAGAGAUAACCGCUGAAAGCAUCUAAGCGGGAAACUCGCCUUAAGAUGAGAUAUCCCUGGAGGCUUGACCUCCUUGAAGGGUCGUUCGAGACCAGGACGUUGAUAGGUCGGGUGUGUAAGCGCAGUAAUGCGUUCAGCUAACCGAUACUAAUUGCCCGUAAGGCUUGAUCC
This 2877-nucleotide ribosomal RNA is filed under the name Burkholderia multivorans ATCC BAA-247. RNAcentral describes it as "bacterial LSU rRNA". It matches the Rfam family "Bacterial large subunit ribosomal RNA". Lineage: Bacteria; Pseudomonadati; Pseudomonadota; Betaproteobacteria; Burkholderiales; Burkholderiaceae. The record is from RNAcentral.